AUACUUGUUUUUCUUCUCGUCGCAGUUGGACUUCUUGUGUUAUUAGCAUUUCGCAAAGAAACAGUCCGACAUAUCAGAAAUGUUUUCAACAUUGAUCGAUUUGAGGCGAAUGUAAAUAACGAUAUAGGUGACUUGAAUAUUCCUUUAGCGGAUGUUGUGCGUACCGCAUUGAACAACAACGACGCUGCUGAUUUAGAAGAUAGUUCGGAAUCUGGAGACAGUUAACGGAAGUCCAAGGCUUCGAUCUUUAAACUGACCACAUUAUGAUAUUAUAGCCUUUUGCCUAAAUAAGCAAUAAGUGACGUUUUGUUAACUGUUGACAAGCGCUAUAUGUCUUUCAAUAGUUAGGAUGGCGAGAAUCUGCUUACCUCUUCCAAGUCAUAUUUGUCGAUUCUGGUCACUUGUAAUGGCAGUUAAAGUGUGAUCAGAAUUAGAGAUUCCGUGAGAUACAAAUAAUAUGUCAUAAGGCACUACCUCAAUCGGAAUCGAUCAGACUUCAACU
Molecule: long non-coding RNA, 502 nt
Organism: Mercenaria mercenaria
Lineage: Eukaryota; Metazoa; Mollusca; Bivalvia; Venerida; Veneridae
Exons: 3
Source: RefSeq, a predicted model, not a curated record